CAGCAGCCGCGGGAAUACGGAGGGUGCAAGCGUUAAUCGGAAUUAUUGGGCGUAAAGAGCUCGUAGGCGGUUUGUCGCGUCUGCCGUGAAAGUCCGGGGCUCAACCCCGGAUCUGCGGUGGGUACGGGCAGACUAGAGUUAUGUAGGGGAGACUGGAAUUCCUGGUGUAGCGGUGAAAUGCGCAGAUAUCAGGAGGAACACCGAUGGCGAAGGCAGGUCUCUGGGCAUUAACUGACGCUGAGGAGCGAAAGCAUGGGGAGCGAACAGGAUUAGAUACCCGGGUAGUCCCUGUCUCUUAUAC
This 301-nucleotide ribosomal RNA is filed under the name uncultured bacterium. RNAcentral's name for it is "partial 16S ribosomal RNA". It matches the Rfam family "Bacterial small subunit ribosomal RNA", at positions 509 to 807 of the family's 1533-position model. The record is from RNAcentral.